Molecule: ribosomal RNA, 380 nt
Filed under: uncultured eukaryote
Lineage: Eukaryota
Description: SSU rRNA
Rfam family: Eukaryotic small subunit ribosomal RNA
Source: RNAcentral
AGCUCCAAUAGCGUAUAUUAAAGUUGUUGUGGUUAAAAAGCUCGUAGUUGGAUCUCGGCGGUCUGAGGGCGGUUCACUUGCUAGUGCUACUGCCCUAUAGACCGUAGUUUUGUCAGAGGUCUCUGGGUGCUCUUAAUCGAGUGUCUCGCGAUGCUGGCAGGUUUACUUUGAAAAAAUUAGAGUGCUCAAAGCAGGCUUUUACGCCUGAAUAUUCGUGCAUGGAAUAAUAGAAUAGGAAGUCGUUUCUAUUUUGUUGGUUUUCGGAAAUCGACUUAAUGAUUAAUAGGGACAGUCGGGGGCAUUUGUAUUCAAACGACAGAGGUGAAAUUCUUGGACCGUUUGAAGACAAACUACUGCGAAAGCAUUUGCCAAGAAUGUUU